GUUUAGGGGUAAACCUGAGAAACCCGAAAGGUCGAAGGGAGAAAUUCAUUCGCGUUUCGUCAUCGGCGGUUAGCUGUCGUGCGACGGAAACGUCAUUUGUCGUUUUCGCACCUUCAGUUAGUCGAACCGGAGACGAACGCGUGCACUUUUCUCCUGGUAGGACGUCGCGAUCCGUCGGGUGUCGGUCUACGGCUCACGGUGGAGCCCGUUCGUCGUUUUUCGGAACGUGUACGAGCGGACCCGUGUGUUUCCCGACCGACCCGCUCGACGGUAUACGAAUGGUUCGGAGCCGCUUAUUGAGCGUUCGGCUCGUGGCAAGCGCAUCAGAUGUCGUUGGCAAUCGGACCUAGUGCCGAUUCUAACCUCUGACGACUGUUGGCUGCGAAGUUCUCGAACAGACUCCGUUUCUCCUGUGAGAAAAAACCGAUCUGCGACGCUAUAGCUUUGGGUACUUUCAGGACCCGUCUUGAAACACGGACCAAGGAGUCUAGCAUGUACGCAAGUCAUUGGGAAUCACUAAACCUAAAGGCGUAAUGAAAGUAAAGGUUUUCCUUGCGAAAACCUAGGGAAGACGAGCGGCUCGCCCUUAAAAGCGUCCGUUCCGCAUUCCCGGGGCGUCUCGUUCUCAUCGCGAGAAGAGGCGCACCAAGAGCGUACACGCUGGGACCCGAAAGAUGGUGAACUAUGCCUGGUCAGGACGAAGUCAGGGGAAACCCUGAUGGAGGUCCGUAGCGAUUCUGACGUGCAAAUCGAUCGUCGGAACUGGGUAUAGGGGCGAAAGACUAAUCGAACCAUC
Molecule: ribosomal RNA, 796 nt
Filed under: Cnemonyx sp. BHJ-2011
Lineage: Eukaryota; Metazoa; Arthropoda; Insecta; Coleoptera; Curculionidae
Description: eukaryotic LSU rRNA
Rfam family: Eukaryotic large subunit ribosomal RNA
Source: RNAcentral